Pteronotus mesoamericanus is the source of this 191-nucleotide small nuclear RNA. RefSeq annotates it as U2 spliceosomal RNA. The transcript has a single exon. Lineage: Eukaryota; Metazoa; Chordata; Mammalia; Chiroptera; Mormoopidae. The record is from RefSeq and is a predicted model, not a curated record.
AUUGCUUCUCAGCCAUUUGGCUAAGAUCAAGUGUAGUAUCUGUUCUUGCCAAUUUAAUAUCUAAUACGUCCUCUAUUUGAGGACAAUAUAUUUAAUGGAUUUUUGGAGUGGGGAGGUGGAAUAGGAGCUUCCUCCAUCAACUCCAUGCAUUGACCCGGCAUUGCAAUACUUCCGGGAACAGUGUACCUCCC